GGGCCCGUAGCUCAGCCAGGCAGAGCGGCGGGCUUUUAACCUAUGGAAGAAACCCGUUGGUCCCGGGUUCAAAUCCCGGCGGGCCCG
RNAcentral lists this transfer RNA (87 nucleotides) under Ignicoccus islandicus DSM 13165. It matches the Rfam family "tRNA". Rfam says of the family: Transfer RNA (tRNA) molecules are approximately 80 nucleotides in length. Their secondary structure includes four short double-helical elements and three loops (D, anti-codon, and T loops). Further hydrogen bonds mediate the characteristic L-shaped molecular structure. tRNAs have two regions of fundamental functional importance: the anti-codon, which is responsible for specific mRNA codon recognition, and the 3' end, to which the tRNAs corresponding amino acid is attached (by aminoacyl-tRNA synthetases). tRNAs cope with the degeneracy of the genetic code in two manners: having more than one tRNA (with a specific anti-codon) for a particular amino acid; and 'wobble' base-pairing, i.e. permitting non-standard base-pairing at the 3rd anti-codon position. Lineage: Archaea; Thermoproteati; Thermoproteota; Thermoprotei; Desulfurococcales; Desulfurococcaceae. The record is from Rfam by way of RNAcentral.